UUGCCAGACUGGCUCUAGAUUGGAAAUCUGAUGGUUAGGGCCCCCUGGUCUAUCAUGGAAAAACUACUCCUUGAACCAAUGUUUGUAGUUCCCAAAUAUGACAUUGUGUGUGUGGAGCUGGACCAGGAUGUAGUGGAAGGGAACAAGGAGCCUAGAUAUAUCAGAGCUCAAGAGAAGGAAGUAACAGAAGAGUAUGAUUCAGGAGUAGAAGAGGAAAGGUGGCCUCGAAAAGCAGAUGCUGCAAACAAUUAAACCCUGUACUGGUUAUCCCUUUUUUAAAAC
This is a long non-coding RNA of Spea bombifrons (plains spadefoot toad), 282 nucleotides long. RefSeq lists it as uncharacterized. The record is from RefSeq and is a predicted model, not a curated record. The transcript is spliced from 3 exons. Lineage: Eukaryota; Metazoa; Chordata; Amphibia; Anura; Pelobatidae.